Molecule: unclassified non-coding RNA, 2159 nt
Filed under: Chelonus insularis
Lineage: Eukaryota; Metazoa; Arthropoda; Insecta; Hymenoptera; Braconidae
Description: uncharacterized LOC118070334, transcript variant X8
Source: RNAcentral
UUAGUUUUUACUUAAAGGUUUUUUUAUUAGUUUUAAUCAUCGUUAAUGUUAUUGAUUAGUUACAGUUUUUUGAUUAUUUAUAAAUUUUACUAGUGUAAAUUUCAAAUUAAAAGAAUUUAAAGAAUUUUAUUAUGGAUAAACUAAAAAGAGAUGGAAAAAAAGGUGAUGGAAAGUGGAUUAAUGAGGGUUAUUCUUAUUAUAAACUGUCCGAGCAUAAAAGAAAAGAUGGUGCAGUUGUCACAUCUGUUGCAUGCAUUAAAAAAAACAAUAAAGCUUAUCACUGUCCAGUAACUGGGUGCUUUAUUGAUAACGUUUUUCAUCCAAAAAAUGAUAAUCACCAAGAUGCUCCUGAUCCAUUACUGCUUCAAAGAUGGGCAACUUAUAAACGUGCUAAGGAUUUGAGUGCAAUACGCGGAAUAAAUGCAGGGCAAAUUUACACUACAGCCUUUUUAAUAGAGAACAAUGAUAUAGCAACAGAUACACCAUCCUGUAAUGUACGUAGAACAAUUCAAAAAAUGAUCGCUAAAUCGCAACCGGAGCAGACAAAAUUACCACCAAAAACUAACACUUUAAUAAAAUUAAUCGAAUCCCUCACUUCAGUUGAAAAAAGUGCUUUACUGCAAUAUGGUGAACAAAUGAAACAUCACAUACAGUGCUAUUUAGAACAAGUGGAAAUAAAAAAUGGAUCAGUAGCAUCAAAUUUAUAUUUAUACGAUGAAGAGUUCUUCAAAAAUAUUUGUUCAAUACAAGAACAACAUCUUUUUAUUGACGGUACUUUUCGUUGCAUCCCUCAAUUAAAAGAGAAAAUAACUCAAUUACUAACUAUUAUGGUUAAAAUAGAGAAUAAAUCAACAAAAGAAUGCAAGGCGGUUCCAUGUAUGUGGGUACUAAUGACACAUAAAACAACGGAAUGCUAUGACAAAUUAUUUAAACAUAUUCAAAAACGAUUUCCUACUUUCUCUCCCAGUCGAUACAUGAGCGAUUAUGAAGUAGCCGUAGGAAAUGCAAUAGAAGCAACUUAUCCAAAUAUCCAAGCGACACAUUGUUACUUUCAUUAUUCCCAAGCAAUAAUGAAGAGAGCUCGAAAAUUAAAAUUAAUUUCAUCACAACACAAUAAAUUCACAGAUCCAGAUAUCUUUAUAAUUUUAAAACAAAUCAUAUCAUUAGCACUAUUGGAACCUUCUCAAAUUGAAAUCACAUUUCAACAAUGUAAAAAAAAUUGUUUGAAAGAUUUUGGUGAUUUUUUCAAAAAUUUCUUCGUAUAUUUUGAGAAAUUCUGGAUAAAAAAAAUUACUCCUUCAGAAUUUUCAGUGAAUAAUGUGAGUGACAGAACUAACAAUAAUAUUGAGUCAUACCACAAACAAUUAAAUUCAAAAUUACCUAAAAAUCCUGUACCAGCUCAAUUUAUUACUACUAUAAAACAAUUAUUAUUAGCUGCACGUAUGGAUAAGAUUCGUGUUGAAACAAGCACUUACCGAAGUAGAGAAUGUAAAAAACAUACACGUGAAAGCAAUAAAGAAAUAGAUGAUUUUUCUAAAGCCAUAAAGAAUAUUAAUUCACGAGAUCCAAAUGCAGCAAAUAUCAUUUUAUCACAGAUAAAUAAUUUAAAUUGCAUCAAAAAAUUGAUAGACACAGAAAAUGAAAUUAUUAGAGAGCAUAUGAAUAACAUUGAAACUAAAUAUGUUGAAGAUAACGUUUUCUACAGAAAAAUAACAAAAAAAAAAUACUACUGCUACAUAAAGCAGCUCUACCAGAUGCUUAUAAACCAGGUGUGUAUACAACUAUUGGCGGAAAGAAAAAACCAUUACAACGAACUAUAAAGAUGUCCAAGAUAGAAUCAACAAUGUAGCAUUCAGAAACAAUUGCUGGUAAUAUAGUGAUUUAAGCACGUGCUUCGGAUAUUUACCGUUUUGCUGAAUUCUCAAAAUUGAAUUUCGAGCAACAAAUUAUGGAGUUUAUUAUGUUAUUAAUAUUUACGAUUAGUUAGAUGCUUUAAGAUUUAAACAUUGUACUUCACAUCGAGCUGUUAUUAUGCAAUAUGCUGUUAUUGGUAAAAAUGUUUUUGACACAUUACUUUUUUGCGGCAGUGAAUUUUAUUUGAUUUAAAAACAAUUUGUGUACAUUAUCAGUGGCUAAACUAAUGUAUAGAUAAAGAAAUC